RNAcentral lists this long non-coding RNA (1258 nucleotides) under Ananas comosus (pineapple). RNAcentral's name for it is "long non-coding RNA (ACOM_LNC011636)". Lineage: Eukaryota; Viridiplantae; Streptophyta; Magnoliopsida; Poales; Bromeliaceae. The record is from RNAcentral.
GGUAACAGCUCGAAUACAUAUAUUUUAUAUUUAUAUAAUUUAUUUAAUUUAUAUUUAUAUAUAUAAAUAAAUAAUUUAAAUACAUAAUAUAUAUUUUUAUUAUUUAAUUUUUAGCAAAAUAAAAAUAUAAAGUCAAGCUUAAUUAUAAAAAAACUCAUUUAUAUGUAAAAUUUCAACUAUUAGAUCAAAAUCUAAUGGAUAAGAUUUUAUAAAUUUAUUUUUUAUAUAUAUUUAAUCUAAUUAUUUUAAUUUAUUGUUCGUUGGUCAGCUCGUGAGUCAGCUCGUGUUCGUCUCGUUUAUUAACGAAUCGAACACAAGCUGAAUUUUUUGACUCGAUACUUUAACAAGCCAACCCCAACUCACUCGUGUUCGGCUCGUUUACACCCCUAGGUGGGGGUGACCACGAAAGUGACUCGAAAGUUGACCACAAUCUUUAAAAGGAGGAGGAAAAGGGACCAACAAAAAAAAAAAGAAAAAAAAGAAAAAGAGAGAAUGAUGCAUAAAAGGACUUCUUUUAGCCGUAAUUACGGAAUUGUACCUUAUUUGUACCAUCACUUUUUUUUUUAGUGUUAAUUGCAUAUAGGUCCCCACAAAUAUAGUAAAUUAUAAAUAUUUCCCUAUAAAGUGUGAUUUUUAUAAAUUAUUCCUGCGAAAAUUUUAAUAUUUUCAUAUAUGUCCCUCUGGUUUGUUACCAUUAGAGAACUGUUAGAAAACUAUUUGUAUUUUCAAUUUUGUCAUCACAAAUAUAUCCAUCCAAAAGUUAUAACAAUAUAAUAUAAAAGUAAACAUGUCAAAAAUUAAUCAGGGUAAAAUAUUUAAUCUAUGGUAAACUAAACUUUUCUAAUAAAUUCUAACGGCAUGGACAUAUUUGAAAAUAUUAGGACUUUUGUAGGAAUAACUUAUCAAAGUUGAACUUUAAAGGAAUAUAUUUGCAACUCACUAUGUUUGCAGGGAUCUGUAUGUAAUUAACCACUUUUUUUUAUAUUUAUUUUUUAUUUUUUAUUUUGUCUAAAUUACACUUUGGUCCUCAAACUAGGAGACGUCUGAUAUUUUGAUUCUCAAAAUUUAAUUGAUAUAAUUUUUUUAAACUCAAAACUUUGUACAAUAGUGUAAAAAGCCUCACAACUUAAUUUAGUUGACAAAUAUUAAUUGAUGUGUCCCUAAUGUGAAAGUGAUGUAGUAACACAUCGAUAUUUAGUUAACUAAUUAGAUUGUGAUUAUAAUAAUUUAUAAAGUUUGUAAUUGAAAUUAUAAUAUA